CGCCAUUUCUUGAUUAUUAUGAAAAGAGACUUGUACAAAACAUAAAACCCAUUUGACAGAAGCAAUUAAGAAAACCAUUCUCCCCGACUAGAAAGUAGGCCCAGCUAAAGGAGGAGUAAUUAACAGCUUUCAAAGCUUCUUCGAUGGCUUCCAUUAGGACGGAGAAUAUAAACAAUGUCUAAAUCCCUAAUUAAAUCUUGCUCAAUUAACUUUCAUCAUUACAACACAAACGCAAUUCACAG
This 242-nucleotide unclassified non-coding RNA is filed under the name Hevea brasiliensis (rubber tree). The record is from RNAcentral. Lineage: Eukaryota; Viridiplantae; Streptophyta; Magnoliopsida; Malpighiales; Euphorbiaceae.